CAGUCGCCGCGGUAAUACGUAGUGUGCGAGCGUUAAUCGGAAUUACUGGGCGUAAAGCGUGCGCAGGCGGUUCGUUAAGACAGAUGUGAAAUCCCCGGGCUUAACCUGGGAACUGCAUUUGUGACUGGCAAGCUAGAGUAUGGCAGAGGGGGGUGGAAUUCCGCGUGUAGCAGUGAAAUGCGUAGAUAUGCGGAGGAACACCGAUGGCGAAGGCAGCCCCCUGGGCCAAUACUGACGCUCAUGCACGAAAGCGUGGGGAGCAAACAGGAUUAGAUACCCCCGUAGUCCCUGUCUCUUAUAC
Molecule: ribosomal RNA, 301 nt
Filed under: uncultured bacterium
Lineage: Bacteria
Description: partial 16S ribosomal RNA
Rfam family: Bacterial small subunit ribosomal RNA
Source: RNAcentral